RNAcentral lists this ribosomal RNA (253 nucleotides) under uncultured bacterium. RNAcentral's name for it is "partial 16S ribosomal RNA". It matches the Rfam family "Bacterial small subunit ribosomal RNA", at positions 524 to 776 of the family's 1533-position model. The record is from RNAcentral.
UACGUAGGGCGCAAGCGUUGUCCGGAAUUAUUGGGCGUAAAGAGCUCGUAGGCGGCUUGUCACGUCGGGUGUGAAAGCCCGGGGCUUAACCCCGGGUCUGCAUUCGAUACGGGCUGGCUAGAGUGUGGUAGGGGAGAUCGGAAUUCCUGGUGUAGCGGUGAAAUGCGCAGAUAUCAGGAGGAACACCGGUGGCGAAGGCGCCGCUCUGGGCCGUGACUGACGCUGAGGAGCGAAAGCGUGGGUAGCAAACAGG